RNAcentral lists this ribosomal RNA (208 nucleotides) under uncultured bacterium. RNAcentral describes it as "partial 16S ribosomal RNA". It matches the Rfam family "Bacterial small subunit ribosomal RNA", at positions 567 to 774 of the family's 1533-position model. The record is from RNAcentral.
UUGCGUAGGCGGCUUUGUAAGCGAAGUGUGAAAUUGUGUGGCUCAACCAUACACCCAUGCUUUGAACUGCAUGGCUAGAGAGUGGAAGAGGUUGCUAGAAUUCCUGGUGUAGGGGUGGAAUCCGUAGAUAUCAGGAGGAAUACCGAUGGCGUAGGCAGGCAACUGGUCCAUUUCUGACGCUCAGGCACGAAAGCGUGGGGAGCGACCG